UGGGGAAUAUUGGACAAUGGGCGCAAGCCUGAUCCAGCAAUGCCGCGUGUGUGAAGAAGGCCUUCGGGUUGUAAAGCACUUUUAUCAGGAACGAAAAGCGUGGGGUUAAUACCUUUACGUGCUGACGGUACCUGAGGAAUAAGCACCGGCUAACUUCGUGCCAGCAGCCGCGGUAAUACGAAGGGUGCAAGCGUUAAUCGGAAUUACUGGGCGUAAAGCGUGCGUAGAUGGUUUGUUAAGUCGGAUGUGAAAGCCCCGGGCUCAACCUGGGAACUGCAUCCGAUACUGGCAGACUAGAGUGUGGUAGAGGAUGGCGGAAUUCCCGGUGUAGCGGUGAAAUGCGUAGAGAUCGGGAGGAACAUCCGUGGCGAAGGCGGCCAUCUGGACCAACACUGACGUUGAGGCACGAAAGCGUGGGGAGCAAACAGGAUUAGAUACCCGUGUAGUCCCUGAGCGGGCUGGCAAGGCGCAU
Molecule: ribosomal RNA, 472 nt
Filed under: uncultured bacterium
Lineage: Bacteria
Description: bacterial SSU rRNA
Rfam family: Bacterial small subunit ribosomal RNA
Source: RNAcentral